RNAcentral lists this ribosomal RNA (565 nucleotides) under Haloferax sp. Its description in RNAcentral is "bacterial SSU rRNA". It matches the Rfam family "Archaeal small subunit ribosomal RNA", at positions 317 to 881 of the family's 1478-position model. Lineage: Archaea; Methanobacteriati; Methanobacteriota; Halobacteria; Halobacteriales; Haloferacaceae. The record is from RNAcentral.
CAGGCCCUACGGGGCGCAGCAGGCGCGAAACCUUUACACUGCACGCAAGUGCGAUAAGGGGACCCCAAGUGCGAGGGCAUAUAGUCCUCGCUUUUCACGACUGUAAGGCGGUCGUGGAAUAAGAGCUGGGCAAGACCGGUGCCAGCCGCCGCGGUAAUACCGGCAGCUCAAGUGAUGACCGAUAUUAUUGGGCCUAAAGCGUCCGUAGCCGGCCACGAAGGUUCAUCGGGAAAUCCGCCAGCUCAACUGGCGGGCGUCCGGUGAAAACCACGUGGCUUGGGACCGGAAGGCUCGAGGGGUACGUCCGGGGUAGGAGUGAAAUCCCGUAAUCCUGGACGGACCACCGAUGGCGAAAGCACCUCGAGAAGACGGAUCCGACGGUGAGGGACGAAAGCUAGGGUCUCGAACCGGAUUAGAUACCCGGGUAGUCCUAGCUGUAAACGAUGCUCGCUAGGUGUGACACAGGCUACGAGCCUGUGUUGUGCCGUAGGGAAGCCGAGAAGCGAGCCGCCUGGGAAGUACGUCCGCAAGGAUGAAACUUAAAGGAAUUGGCGGGGGAGCACUA